This is a long non-coding RNA of Capsella rubella, 520 nucleotides long. RefSeq lists it as uncharacterized. Lineage: Eukaryota; Viridiplantae; Streptophyta; Magnoliopsida; Brassicales; Brassicaceae. The transcript is spliced from 2 exons. The record is from RefSeq and is a predicted model, not a curated record.
AAAACAGGUAUGGAUUGGUUGUAAAAUGUCUACUUUGUCCUUACAACAUUUAUGUCAAUAAUGUUUUCUUCUUCACCAAAUAAACUUCGCCGACACAAAAGACGAUCCACACUCUGAGAUUGCCGAUUAAUUCUCGUCGCCGACAAGCGAAUACAUCGGAGGAAACAAGCCAACAAUGGCUUCUGCAAUUGUGAAUUGGGAAGCGCAUGAUGUUUGUCAUCAUGGAUCUGAAAUCAUGGUUGAAGACGCCUCCAUAUCCAUCAUCGUCGCAUGCUUCUUCUUCCUCUCCUUUAAUGUUCUUUUUGUUCUUGUCAUUCCAGUUUUUGCCUCCGAAAACAUGUGACGAAAGGAUUGAUGUAUAUCCUCCAGAUGUUGCAUGUAGCACAUUAAGAGUUUGACCAAUCCACUCCUCUACCUGGUCAAUAUGGUGAAGGGUAAUAAUGUCAUGAAUAGUAGUUUUUUGCUGAGUUGUACAUUGUUACUGUAUUACGUUCUUACUUCGAAAGAAAGGAGUUCAAAA